RNAcentral lists this ribosomal RNA (726 nucleotides) under uncultured bacterium. Its description in RNAcentral is "bacterial SSU rRNA". It matches the Rfam family "Bacterial small subunit ribosomal RNA", at positions 47 to 762 of the family's 1533-position model. The record is from RNAcentral.
CCUAACACAUGCAAGUCGAACGGUAACAGGAAACAGCUUGCUGUUUCGCUGACGAGUGGCGGACGGGUGAGUAAUGUCUGGGAAACUGCCUGAUGGAGGGGGAUAACUACUGGAAACGGUAGCUAAUACCGCAUAACGUCGCAAGACCAAAGAGGGGGACCCUCGGGCCUCUUGCCAUCGGAUGUGCCCAGAUGGGAUUAGCUUGUUGGUGGGGUAACGGCUCACCAAGGCGACGAUCCCUAGCUGGUCUGAGAGGAUGACCAGCCACACUGGAACUGAGACACGGUCCAGACUCCUACGGGAGGCAGCAGUGGGGAAUAUUGCACAAUGGGCGCAAGCCUGAUGCAGCCAUGCCGCGUGUAUGAAGAAGGCCUUCGGGUUGUAAAGUACUUUCAGCGGGGAGGAAGGGAGUAAAGUUAAUACCUUUGCUCAUUGACGUUACCCGCAGAAGAAGCAUCGGCUAACUCCGUGCCAGCAGCCGCGGUAAUACGGAGGGUGCAAGCGUUAAUCGGAAUUACUGGGCGUAAGGCGCACGCAGGCGGUUUGUUAAGUCAGAUGUGAAAUCCCCGGGCUCAACCUGGGAACUGCAUCUGAUACUGGCAAGCUUGAGUCUCGUAGAGGGGGGUAGAAUUCCAGGUGUAGCGGUGAAAUGCGUAGAGAUCUGGAGGAAUACCGGUGGCGAAGGCGGCCCCCUGGACGAAGACUGACGCUCACGUGCGAAAGCGU